This 336-nucleotide ribosomal RNA is filed under the name uncultured bacterium. RNAcentral describes it as "bacterial SSU rRNA". It matches the Rfam family "Bacterial small subunit ribosomal RNA", at positions 72 to 422 of the family's 1533-position model. The record is from RNAcentral.
AAGUGGAGCAAUCCAUGAGUAAAGUGGCGACCGGGUGAGUAACACGUGACUAACCUACCUUCGAGUGGGGGAUAACCUCGGGAAACCGAGGCUAAUACCGCAUAAUAUCGAGAGAUCAAAGGAGCAAUCCGCUUUUGGAGGGGGUCGCGGCUGAUUAGCUAGUUGGUAGGGUAAUGGCCUACCAAGGCGAAGAUCGGUAUCCGGCCUGAGAGGGCGCACGGACACACUGGAACUGAAACACGGUCCAGACUCCUACGGGAGGCAGCAGUGGGGAAUUUUGCGCAAUGGGGGAAACCCUGACGCAGCAACGCCGCGUGGAGGAUGAAGUACUUCGGU